Molecule: ribosomal RNA, 1244 nt
Filed under: metagenome
Description: bacterial LSU rRNA
Rfam family: Bacterial large subunit ribosomal RNA
Source: RNAcentral
UGAGUACGAGAUGCUACGGCAUCGAAGCAGUCUAUGUCAUACUUCCAAGAAAAGCUUGCACUGUCAGAAAACAGAUAAUGCCUGUACCAUAACCGACACAGGUGGGUAGGUAGAGUAUACUAAGGGGCGCGAGAUAACUCUCUCUAAGGAACUCGGCAAAAUGACUCCGUAACUUCGGGAGAAGGAGUGCCUUAUUUUUAAGGUUGCAAUAACAAGAUCCAAGCAACUGUUUACCAAAAACACAGGUCUCCGCUAAGUCGUAAGACGAUGUAUGGGGGCUGACGCCUGCCCAGUGCCAGAAGGUUAAAGAAGUCGGUUAGCAUUCGCGAGGCUGGUAACUGAAGCCCUGGUGAACGGCGGCCGUAACUAUAACGGUCCUAAGGUAGCGAAAUUCCUUGUCGGGUAAGUUCCGACCCGCACGAAAGACGUAAUGAUUUGGAUACUGUCUCGGAGAGGGGCUCGGUGAAAUAGACUUGUCUGUGAAGAUGCGGACUACCUGCACCUGGACAGAAAGACCCUAUGAAGCUUUACUGUAACUUGAAAUUGAAAUUGGACUUUAUUUGCGCAGUAUAGGUGGGAGGCGUUGAAAAUAUUCUUGCGGGAAUAUUGGAGCCAUCAGUGAGAUAUCACUCUUGUAAUGUUAGAUUUCUAACUUUAUAUCAUUAUCUGGUUAAAGAACAGUUUCAGGCGGGCAGUUUGACUGGGGCGGUCGCCUCCCAAAUGGUAACGGAGGCGCACAAAGGUUUCCUCUGAACGGGUAGAAAUCGUAUCUAGAGUGUAAAGGCAUAAGGAAGCUUGACUGUGAGACCUACAAGUCGAGCAGGGACGAAAGUCGGUCUUAGUGAUCUGACGGUGCUGAGUGGAAAGGCCGUCACUCAACGGAUAAAAGUUACUCUAGGAUAACAGGCUGAUCUCCCCCAAGAGUUCACAUCGACGGGGAGGUUUGGCACCUCGAUGUCGGCUCAUCGCAUCCUGGGGCGGUAGUACGUCCCAAGGGUUGGGCUGUUCGCCCAUGAAAGCGGUACGCGAGCUGGGUUCAGAACGUCGUGAGACAGUUCGGUCCAUAUCCGGUGUAGGCGUUAGAAUAUUGAGAGGAGCCUUCUUUAGUACGAGAGGACCGAGAAGGACAUACCUCUGGUGUACCAGUUAUCGUGCCAACGGUAAACGCUGGGUAGCUAUGUAUGGAGUGGAUAACCGCUGAAAGCAUCUAAGUGGGAAGCCCACCUCAAGAUAAGUAUUCUCAU